RNAcentral lists this ribosomal RNA (497 nucleotides) under uncultured bacterium. RNAcentral describes it as "partial 16S ribosomal RNA". It matches the Rfam family "Bacterial small subunit ribosomal RNA", at positions 28 to 507 of the family's 1533-position model. The record is from RNAcentral.
GAUGAACGCUGGCGGCGUGCCUAAUACAUGCAAGUCGAGCGAACGGACGAGAAGCUUGCUUCUCUGAUGCUAGCGGCGGACGGGUGAGUAACACGUGGAUAACCUACCUAUAAGACUGGGAUAACUUCGGGAAACAGGAGCUAAUACCGGAUGAUAUUUUGAACCGCAUGGUUCAAAAGUGAAAGACGGUCUUGCUGUCACUUAUAGAUGGAUCCGCGCUGCAUUAGCUAGUUGGUAAGGUAACGGCUUACCAAGGCAACGAUGCAUAGCCGACCUGAGAGGGUGGUCGGCCACACUGGAACUGAGACACGGUCCAGACUCCUACGGGAGGCAGCAGUAGGGAAUCUUCCGCGAAGGGCGAAAGCCUGACGGAGCAACGCCGCGUGAGUGAUGAAGGUCUUCGGAUCGUAAAACUCUGUUAUUAGGGAAGAACAUAUGUGUAAGUAACUGUGCACAUCUUGACGGUACCUAAUCAGAAAGCCACGGCUAACUACGUG